RNAcentral lists this transfer RNA (73 nucleotides) under Ovis aries (sheep). It matches the Rfam family "tRNA". Rfam says of the family: Transfer RNA (tRNA) molecules are approximately 80 nucleotides in length. Lineage: Eukaryota; Metazoa; Chordata; Mammalia; Artiodactyla; Bovidae. The record is from Rfam by way of RNAcentral.
UCCCUGGUGGUCCAGUGGUUAAGACGCCACACUCGCAAUGCAGAGGGCAUUGGUUCAACUCCUGGUCAGGGAA